Molecule: ribosomal RNA, 253 nt
Filed under: uncultured bacterium
Lineage: Bacteria
Description: partial 16S ribosomal RNA
Rfam family: Bacterial small subunit ribosomal RNA
Source: RNAcentral
UACGAAGGGGGCUAGCGUUGUUCGGAAUUACUGGGCGUAAAGGGCGCGUAGGCGGCCGGUUAAGUCGAACGUGAAAUCCCCGGGCUCAACCCGGGAACUGCGUCCGAUACUGGCAGGCUUGAAUCCGGGAGAGGGAUGCGGAAUUCCAGGUGUAGCGGUGAAAUGCGUAGAUAUCUGGAGGAACACCGGUGGCGAAGGCGGCAUCCUGGACCGGCAUUGACGCUGAGGCGCGAAAGCCAGGGGAGCAAACGAG